RNAcentral lists this ribosomal RNA (367 nucleotides) under uncultured bacterium. Its description in RNAcentral is "bacterial SSU rRNA". It matches the Rfam family "Bacterial small subunit ribosomal RNA", at positions 350 to 703 of the family's 1533-position model. The record is from RNAcentral.
AGCAGUAGGGAAUCUUGCGCAAUGGGCGAAAGCCUGACGCAGCGACACCGCGUGGAGGAUGAAGAUUUUCGAAUCGUAAACUCCUGUCAAUAGAGGAAGAAGGUAUUUAUAGGUGAAUAGCUUUAUAAUAUUUGACGGUACUUUUGUAAGGAAGCCCCGGCUAACUACGUGCCAGCAGCCGCGGUAAUACGUAGGGGGCAAGCGUUUUCCGGAUUUAUUGGGCGUAAAGCGCACGCAGGUGGCUUUUUAAGUCGGAUGUGAAAUCUCUUAGCAAAACUAAGAAAUUGCAUCCGAAACUGGAUUGCUUGAGGUCGGGAGAGGAGAGUGGAAUUCUCGGUGUAGCGGUGAAAUGCGCAUAUAUCGAGAA